GCUUAACGCGAAGAACCUUACCAGGUCUUGACAUCCCAUUGACCACUAUGGAGACAUAGUUUCCCUUCGGGGACAACGGUGACAGGUGGUGCAUGGUUGUCGUCAGCUCGUGUCGUGAGAUGUUGGGUUAAGUCCCGCAACGAGCGCGACCCUUGUUCUUAGUUGCCAUCAUUUAGUUGGGCACUCUAAGGAGACUGCCGGUGACAAACCGGAGGAAGGUGGGAUGACGUCAAAUCAUCAUGCCCCUUAUGACCUGGGCUACACACGUGCUACAAUGGACGGUACAAACGGUUGCCAACCCGCGAGGGGGAGCUAAUCCGAUAAAACCGUUACUCAGUUCGGUAUUGUUAGGUUGCAACUCGCCUACAUGAAGCCGGAAUCGCUAGUAAUCGCGGAUCAGCAUGCCGCGGUGAAUACGUUCCCGGGUC
Molecule: ribosomal RNA, 428 nt
Filed under: uncultured bacterium
Lineage: Bacteria
Description: bacterial SSU rRNA
Rfam family: Bacterial small subunit ribosomal RNA
Source: RNAcentral